Molecule: non-coding RNA, 30 nt
Filed under: Mus musculus (house mouse)
Lineage: Eukaryota; Metazoa; Chordata; Mammalia; Rodentia; Muridae
Source: RNAcentral
GAGACAGUCCCUAAGAGUUACCCACUUCUU